UUCUGGUUGAUCCUGCCGGACCUGACUGCUAUCGGAUUGAUACUAAGCCAUGCGAGUCUUUGUAGUAAUACAAGGCAGACGGCUCAGUAACACGUAGUCAACCUACCCUAUGGACGAGAAUAAUCUCGGGAAACUGAGCAUAAUUCUUGAUAGAUCAUAAUGCCUGGAAUGGUUUAUGGUUAAAAUGAUUCGUCGCCAUAGGAUGGGACUGCGGCCUAUCAGCUUGUUGGUGAGGUAAUGGCCCACCAAGGCGAUUACAGGUACGGGCUCUGAGAGGAGAAGCCCGGAGAUGGGUACUGAGACACGGACCCAGGCCCUAUGGGGCGCAGCAGGCGAGAAAACUUUGCAAUGUGCGAAAGCACGACAAGGUUAAUCCGAGUGAUUUCUGCUAAAGAAAUCUUUUGCCAGUCGUAAAACCGCUGGUGAAUAAGGGGUGGGCAAGUUCUGGUGCCAGCAGCCGCGGUAAUA
This 468-nucleotide ribosomal RNA is filed under the name uncultured archaeon. RNAcentral describes it as "bacterial SSU rRNA". It matches the Rfam family "Archaeal small subunit ribosomal RNA", at positions 1 to 475 of the family's 1478-position model. The record is from RNAcentral.